UACGAAGGGGGCUAGCGUUGUUCGGAUUUACUGGGCGUAAAGCGCACGUAGGCGGAUCGUUAAGUCGGGGGUGAAAUCCUGGAGCUCAACUCCAGAACUGCCUUCGAUACUGGCGAUCUUGAGUCCGGAAGAGGUGAGUGGAACUCCUAGUGUAGAGGUGGAAUUCGUAGAUAUUAGGAAGAACACCAGUGGCGAAGCGGCUCACUGGUCCGGUACUGACGCUGAGGUGCGAAAGCGUGGGGAGCAAACAGG
RNAcentral lists this ribosomal RNA (252 nucleotides) under uncultured bacterium. RNAcentral's name for it is "partial 16S ribosomal RNA". It matches the Rfam family "Bacterial small subunit ribosomal RNA", at positions 524 to 776 of the family's 1533-position model. The record is from RNAcentral.